UGUGUAUCAGUACAUGGCAUAUCAAUAAGCGGAGGAAAAGAAACUAACAAGGAUUCCCCUAGUAACGGCGAGUGAAGCGGGAAGAGCUCAAAUUUGAAAUCUUCAAGGUUUUCCCUUGACGAAUUGUAGUUUAAAGAAGUGUUUUCGGUUAGUAGAGGUGGUAAAAGUUCUUUGGAAUAGGACAUCAUAGAGGGUGAGAAUCCCGUAUUUGAUCACUUUCUACUGACGUUGUGAUACACUUUCAAAGAGUCGGAUUGUUUGGGAAUGCAGUCCAAAAUGGGUGGUAAAUUUCAUCUAAAGCUAAAUAUUGGCGAGAGACCGAUAGCGAACAAGUACCGUGAGGGAAAGAUGAAAAGAACUUUGAAAAGAGAGUUAAACAGUACGUGAAAUUGUCAAAAGGGAAGCGUUUGACACCAGUGUUGUUUUUCCGAAAAUCAAUUACGAAUGUUUUGUUUUUGAGAAGUUAUGACUUCAUCGGCUUGCUUCUUUCCUUACGAAACUUUCUUAAUGCACUUUUCGGUUAACAAGUCAACAUCAAUUUCUUUUGUUGUAAAAGGGUAUGAGGAAGGUGGCUUUCUUUUCGGAGAAAGUGUUUAUAGCCUUGUACCUCUGCAAUCGGAGAGAUUGAGGUCUGCAGCGUAGAUCCUUCGGGGUUAGAUACAUUUGUGCUAAGUUAUAGCUUUUCAUAGACAACUUGUUGACUAUGUUCAGUCAUGUAGCUUACUCGCUUGUGCUAUUUUACCUACGCUUAGGAUGUUGACUGAUAUGUAGUCGU
Molecule: ribosomal RNA, 775 nt
Filed under: uncultured Neocallimastigales
Lineage: Eukaryota; Fungi; Neocallimastigomycota; Neocallimastigomycetes; Neocallimastigales
Description: partial large subunit ribosomal RNA
Rfam family: Eukaryotic large subunit ribosomal RNA
Source: RNAcentral